This is a long non-coding RNA of Cebus imitator (Panamanian white-faced capuchin), 905 nucleotides long. RefSeq lists it as uncharacterized. NCBI's taxonomy places the organism in Eukaryota, Metazoa, Chordata, Mammalia, Primates, Cebidae. The transcript is spliced from 3 exons. The record is from RefSeq and is a predicted model, not a curated record.
CCGCGUUUUGAGGCGGCCGGGCAGGGUGGAGGCGCAGACCGGGCCAGCUGGAGGGGCUCUGCCCUGAUGGCGUUCCCACUCCCACCGCAUGAGCAGGGCGCCGGGGAGGGCUGGAGGGCUGCAGGUGUUCUAUUCCCACCCGGCUUGCAGCUCAAGGCGGGGAAACGCCUCACACCCUCCCCUUCUUCCCAGCCCCACUUCCUUUUCCUGCUCCCACAGGUGGAAGUCACCAGCAGAAAUAACCCUUCACCGUUUGGAGGGCUGGGAGAGAGGGGCCACGAGGGCCCCGGGAGACACCCCGGCGGCAGGUUGGGGGCAGGAGCUGCUUCUUCAAUUAGAAGAAUGAACAGACCUCAUAGUCAUUGCCUUUAGACCCAGCUGUGGGGCUAACCAAGGAAGGUAAAAUGACCAGCUGCCUCACAGCAAAUUCUCUGGAGUGAAUGGGAUCUAAAGCAAUGAUAUGCAAAUCUACAAAGACACUAUGUCUUUUCACUGAUUAAUGGGGUGCAAAAAUCUGUGAGAUUUAUAAUCGAAGCAGGUUUAACAACUGCACAACAGAAAAACAGCUAUACCAGGAGGCCCAGUGAGUGAGCAGAUCUCUAAGAACAGCUCUAUGUUGAUCAUUCUUGUGCAGCACCACCUGUAUGAAUUACUGAGAGAAUAAUAACAAGUACUGUUAACUCAGUACCUACUGUGUGCCAGAGGCUGUGCUAGUUACUUUAUCUACAUCAUCUCUGAAUCUCACAGUAACACUCAUGAAGAUUUUAUUGUCCUUGUUUCUCUGACGAAGAACUGAGGUGAAGAGAAUUUCAAUGAUUUACCCAAGUUUCCACAACUGAGGCCAGGCGCAGUGGCUCAUGCCUGUAAUCCCAGCCCUUUGGGAGGCCAAGGCGGCAGGAUCACCU